This 371-nucleotide long non-coding RNA is filed under the name Helianthus annuus (common sunflower). RNAcentral describes it as "sRNA HanXRQr2_Chr09g0371021". Lineage: Eukaryota; Viridiplantae; Streptophyta; Magnoliopsida; Asterales; Asteraceae. The record is from RNAcentral.
GAAGUGUGUUUGGUCGAUCUAAACAUCAGGAGCGAACAGGAGCUUCCCCACCAAACCCUAACUUGUGCAAAUUGAUCAAAUUGGGGCUUCAAAUCAGUUCCAAAUCGAUUUCCAAGCACGAAAUUGUCAUCUCCAUUGAAAGGGGAGUCAUAAGUUUGAUCUCGUCAAACUAAGUGGGAGCUGGAAAGGAAUGGAUCAAACGGGUCAAGUGCGCAAGGAAAGCUCGAACGGACGCAAACUGUACAUUUUGGAUGCCGGAAGACGAUCAAGCUCAACGAAGAACCGAACACGAAUAAGAUAAAAGCUUCCGCACGUCGUUUCGUCGUAACUUUUAAACGACGAACUCAAUUAUGUUAUGUUGUAUUAUUUUA